AUUAGUAUUCUGAAGAAUUCUUUCUUUUUGAAUAGCACUUAAACCUUUUUUUGUUAUUAUUCAAAUUUUAAAUGACCAACAUGAACCUUAUAUUGUUUUUGAAAAAUGUUAAUUAUGUAAACUCUCUUACACUUACAUUAAUGUUGAUGAUGAAAAUAAAAUAAUUAUUAGUAAAACAGAUCUUAAAAGAAAGAGAAAAAACUAAUAAUAAUUAAUUUAAGAAAAAUGAUUUGUGAAAAAAAUAAAUAUAAACUUGUGGAGAUUUUUAAAUUAUCAUGGGGAAAAGAAAAAAGAAAGUUUUUAAUUUUAUUUUGUUUGAAAGCCAUGUAUUCCAGACUUUACAAAAAAGAAAAGAAAAUAAAGAACAUACAAAAAACUUAAGGCUAUAAGAACUCAUUGAAAAACUAAAGUAAAAAAAGCAUGAUUGGCAAAAAUAAAACUUUGAAGACUUUAGAAUACUCUCAAACCCUUGAAAGUUCUUGCCAAUCACUCCUAUGUGUUUAUUACAUAUGGAGUGUGUAAAGAGACUAACGACCAACAACUAACGACCUCAAGACAAAAGCACUGCAUAUAUGUCUUUUCUAUAAAAUAAGUUGAGGUCAACUAACUGUAUUUUUAUAAAAGUCGCUAUAAGAAAUUUGAAUUU
This 646-nucleotide small RNA is filed under the name Arabidopsis thaliana (thale cress). RNAcentral's name for it is "ATSL045990". Lineage: Eukaryota; Viridiplantae; Streptophyta; Magnoliopsida; Brassicales; Brassicaceae. The record is from RNAcentral.